CAUUGAUGAGAUAUAGAACAAGCGGAAC
Molecule: non-coding RNA, 28 nt
Filed under: Cricetulus griseus (Chinese hamster)
Lineage: Eukaryota; Metazoa; Chordata; Mammalia; Rodentia; Cricetidae
Source: RNAcentral